GCCCGGGUGGCGGAAUUGGCAGACGCGCCAGCUUGAGGGGCUGGUAAGAGCAAUCUUGUGCUGGUUCGAAUCCAGUCCCGGGCA
This 84-nucleotide transfer RNA is filed under the name Planctomycetes bacterium GWF2_50_10. Its description in RNAcentral is "tRNA-Leu". It matches the Rfam family "tRNA". Rfam says of the family: Transfer RNA (tRNA) molecules are approximately 80 nucleotides in length. Lineage: Bacteria; Pseudomonadati; Planctomycetota. The record is from RNAcentral.